This 105-nucleotide microRNA precursor is filed under the name Eutrema salsugineum. Its description in RNAcentral is "mir-166 microRNA precursor family". It matches the Rfam family "mir-166 microRNA precursor family". From Rfam's summary of the family: This family represents the plant microRNA (miRNA) precursor mir-166. Lineage: Eukaryota; Viridiplantae; Streptophyta; Magnoliopsida; Brassicales; Brassicaceae. The record is from Rfam by way of RNAcentral.
GUUGAGAGGAAUGUUGUCUGGAUCGAGAUCAUGAAGAAAUCAUUCGAUCAAUAUGUAAAAUGAAAACCCUAAAUGAUUCUCGGACCAGGCUUCAUUCCCCCCAAC